RNAcentral lists this ribosomal RNA (91 nucleotides) under Salmonella enterica subsp. enterica serovar Agona str. ATCC 51957. RNAcentral describes it as "partial 23S ribosomal RNA". It matches the Rfam family "Bacterial large subunit ribosomal RNA", at positions 2837 to 2925 of the family's 2925-position model. Lineage: Bacteria; Pseudomonadati; Pseudomonadota; Gammaproteobacteria; Enterobacterales; Enterobacteriaceae. RNAcentral also lists the same sequence under 1 other name. The record is from RNAcentral.
GUUGAAGACGACGACGUUGAUAGGCCGGGUGUGUAAGCGCAGCGAUGCGUUGAGCUAACCGGUACUAAUGAACCGUGAGGCUUAACCUUAC